This 497-nucleotide ribosomal RNA is filed under the name uncultured bacterium. RNAcentral's name for it is "partial 16S ribosomal RNA". It matches the Rfam family "Bacterial small subunit ribosomal RNA", at positions 28 to 507 of the family's 1533-position model. The record is from RNAcentral.
GAUGAACGCUGGCGGCGUGCCUAAUACAUGCAAGUCGAGCGAACGGACGAGAAGCUUGCUUCUCUGAUGUUAGCGGCGGACGGGUGAGUAACACGUGGAUAACCUACCUAUAAGACUGGGAUAACUUCGGGAAACCGGAGCUAACACCGGAUAAUAUUUUGAACCGCAUGGUUCAAAAGUGAAAGACGGUCUUGCUGUCACUUAUAGAUGGAUCCGCGCUGCAUUAGCUAGUUGGUACGGUAACGGCUUACCAAGGCAACGAUGCAUAGCCGACCUGAGAGGGUGAUCGGCCACACUGGAACUGAGACACGGUCCAGACUCCUACGGGAGGCAGCAGUAGGGAAUCUUCCGCAAAGGGCGAAAGCCUGACGGAGCAACGCCGCGUGAGUGAUGAAGGUCUUCGGAUCGUAAAACUCUGUUAUUAGGGAAGAACAUAUGUGGAAGUAACUGUGCACAUCUUGACGGUACCUAAUCAGAAAGCCACGGCUAACUACGUG